CACCGCGGAUAAACGACCUAGGCUCAAAUUGACAGCUUUCGGCACAAAGUGUGGUUAAUAAAACUAAAACUAAAGUCGAACCUUUUCAACGCCGUUAUAAGUACUUGAAAGAGGGAAGAUCAACAACGAAAGUGACUUUAAAAAUUAUGAACCCACGAAAGCUAGGGAA
This 169-nucleotide ribosomal RNA is filed under the name Trimma flavatrum (wasp pygmy goby). RNAcentral's name for it is "partial 12S rRNA". Lineage: Eukaryota; Metazoa; Chordata; Actinopteri; Gobiiformes; Gobiidae. The record is from RNAcentral.